Long non-coding RNA from Hippocampus zosterae (dwarf seahorse), 291 nucleotides. RefSeq lists it as uncharacterized. The record is from RefSeq and is a predicted model, not a curated record. NCBI's taxonomy places the organism in Eukaryota, Metazoa, Chordata, Actinopteri, Syngnathiformes, Syngnathidae. The transcript is spliced from 2 exons.
GCAUCUGCGAUGAACAUCAGCGACAUGUGGUACUUUGUUAGCCCCGUUAUAAGGUGAGAUCAUCUUUCGGGCGUGUUAGCAUUAGGUUAGCAGCCUUUGAGUGAGCUAUCAAAAUGAGUUUUAAUAGUCAAGAUCAAAGGGAAACAAUCUUCUAGCUCAGGGGUCCAGAUUGGAUCAAGCAGCCAGAAGAGGGUCAACUGAGCCCGGUUGGCACAAAGCUCCAUUUCCUGUUCCAUGCUCGUUCUCCUGCGCUGGCAUGAGGAAGGAAGAGAAAAAAAAAUCAACCAAAAC